Molecule: small nuclear RNA, 140 nt
Organism: Callithrix jacchus (white-tufted-ear marmoset)
Lineage: Eukaryota; Metazoa; Chordata; Mammalia; Primates; Cebidae
Gene: U4
Rfam family: U4 spliceosomal RNA
About the family: U4 small nuclear RNA (U4 snRNA) is a component of the major U2-dependent spliceosome. The structure of U4 snRNA from yeast and human has been reported.
Source: Ensembl
AGCUUUGCACAGUGACAGUAUCAGAGCCAAUGAGGUUUAUCUGAGGUGCGAUUAUUGCUAAUUGAAAACUUUUCCCAAUACCCUGCCUUGACGACUUGAAAUAUAGAAGCAUUGGCAAUUGUUGACAGUCUCUAUGGAGA